This 486-nucleotide ribosomal RNA is filed under the name uncultured bacterium. RNAcentral's name for it is "partial 16S ribosomal RNA". It matches the Rfam family "Bacterial small subunit ribosomal RNA", at positions 28 to 507 of the family's 1533-position model. The record is from RNAcentral.
GACGAACGCUGGCGGCGUGCUUAACACAUGCAAGUCGAACGCUGAAGACCUGGCUUUUGUUGGGUUGGAUGAGUGGCGAACGGGUGAGUAACACGUGAGUAACCUGCCCUCUUCUUUGGGAUAACGCCCGGAAACGGGUGCUAAUACUGGAUAUUCACUGAUCUUCGCAUGGGGGUUGGUGGAAAGGUUUGUUCUGGUGGGGGAUGGGCUCGCGGCCUAUCAGCUUGUUGGUGGGGUGAUGGCCUACCAAGGCUUUGACGGGUAGCCGGCCUGAGAGGGUGACCGGUCACAUUGGGACUGAGAGACGGCCCAGACUCCUACGGGAGGCAGCAGUGGGGAAUAUUGCACAAUGGGCGAAAGCCUGAUGCAGCGACGCCGCGUGAGGGAUGGAGGCCUUCGGGUUGUAAACCUCUUUCGCUCAUGGUCAAGCCGCAACUGUGGGUUGUGGUGAGGGUAGUGGGUAAAGAAGUGCCGGCUAACUACGUG